CCAGGAAGGCGUCCGACAGCACCACGAUGAGGCGUCGGCAGCGGCUCAGGUUCACCAGGAGGUCGGCGGAAGGCUCUGCGAAGAGCCGGCUGAGGAGCACUAGCAGGAGUCAGAGAAGACAGCCUCAUCUUGUGGUGCGGUUCCCCAGCCACCCACCUCUCCCUGCCCCGCGCCGGACUGCACCCACCCCCACCAGCCUGAAGGAAGGCGCCGCUGCAGCCGGACCAUCUUGAUGGCGUCCAGGCGGAUCUCCACGAUGUUGCUGAAGAAGGCGAGCAGCGGGGCCAGCGGGAAGGCAGCCACGAAGAUGGUGGUGAAACCGUACUGGAUCACUGCGCAGGGAGGGCGGGGCGCUGCCCUGAGCUCGGGCCCCAGGCCCCAGCCCCCUCCCCACAGAGCACCCCCCCCCACGCACUCAUCUCCAUGAACUCGUCAAACAGGCUGAAGGUGUUCACCCGGUUCAGGCGGUAGUUGCGCUGCCAGCCCCUCAGCUCGGGGUCUUCGGACUCCCAGCCCCGCAUGGAGCGGUACUUGAGAGUCAGCCACCUGGGGGAGACAAGAACCAGGAGUCAGGCUCCAGAGGCACCCCUGCUGCAGCUGGUGACAGCUCUCAUUUGACACAGUUCCCAUCGGUAUAAAGUUACAAAGAAAAGAAGUUACAGAGUUUACAAUGGUUACAAAGUUACGAAGAAAAAAAGCCAUUCUUUCAAGAAAUGUGGCUGUGUCCCUAGAAAACCAAAGUAAACCAGCGGAAAGGCUGGAUAAGUGACCUGACAGGCGCUGAGAGUAGGCUCGCGAGGGUCCCUGGACGCCUGUGGGAGCCAGGGCAGGAGGCGGCCGCAGACACCUCCCAGGGUUGUUGCCCAAGGACGAACAAAGUUGCACCUGUGGGCCCCACGUGGCGAGGCCUGAAACUACUCACAAACGUUAACAAAAACGUGCUCUCCAGUCGGAAGCCCCGGGCCGUGUUUCGUGGUAGACAGAAGGAUGCCCCACCCCCUAAGGGCAUCCAGGUCCUCAUCCCUGGAGCCUGUGAGGGUCCUCUCAGAAGGUGGCAUUAAGGUUGCUAUCGGCUGACUUAAAAGGGGGCCGUUAUCCAGGACCAUCGGGUGUGCCCAAAGCCGCUGGCUUCGCGGGCGGAGCAGGAAGGGGCCCCUGGAAGCUGAAGGCAGCAGAAGAGGACCCUGCCCUCUCCGGGGCUGCCAGACAGAAUCGGCCCCGCAGCACCUUGACGGGAGCCCGGGAAGCCCGCAGACCUGCACGCUAACGAACUGCUGCUCAGAGCCGCUCGGCAGGGGUCGCUCGUGAUGGCAGCAGGGAACAUGAACCCGCGUGGGCCCCCCUACAACAGUGUGGGAGCUUCCUGCAGCCCGAAACCAAAUCCCACAGAGUGUCCAUGUGUGGUCUGCCAGAAUGACCCUAAAAUUUGGCUAAAAUAAAAAACCAGGUAAUUACCCAUAAGAAAAAGGGAAAAGCAAGCCAGAAAAGCAGGGAACGCUGGCCCAUCUGGCAGUGAAGCCCCAAACACUCGGUGUGGCGUCACAACUAAUCUUAAAGAAGCAGACAGAACCCAGGGGCCAACAGCCAGGGCCUGGGCAUCUGGAAACAAGGACACGGCCCCCUCCUCCACCCUCCCGCUCCAUGAGCGCCUCAUGCCCCAAAGACUUGCUGUUGCAAAUGCUGAAACUGUGCACAUCCCAAGGACAUCACAGCUGGACAAGUUUUUGAUCGGGGCAGGGGGUGGCUUUUUGAGGGCAGCCCGAAAAAGGACACCGUAAAGAACCACAGGGACAAAAACGGCAACAUGAAAGAAACAUUGCCUUUGGGAUGACGCGGCGGCUGGACACCCUUUCACCCCCCUGCCGGGAGACCCCACUCACACGGAGGCACAGCGUGGGAAGGGCCGGCGGCCCACCUGCCGACCGGGUGGCCCAGAGGUGGUUUUUAACCUCUGGAACAGGGUCGCCUCACCGGUAAAGGAGGCUAAGAGUCCCCACCCAGCACAGCUGUCGUGCCGGCUGGAGUGCGUGCGAGCGACCUCGGAGUGGGUGGGGGUCCUAAAAUGACCAGAAGAAGCAAGUCAGCCCUUCGCCUGCCCCCGAAGGGGGAGCGGGGCCCCGCAGGCGCAGCUGGGCAGAAGACAGGGGCCCGGCCAAGACACAGGUGACGAAGCCGAGGGAGCAGACCACUGGGAACAGUGAACUUCAAUGGGAAAAACCACUGAUAUCCUCAAGGACACACUGCGUCUAUAAAAACAAAAAAAGGAGGCGACAAGGAAAACGGGGGAAAAGAACUCUUGGAAAUGAAGGUUGUUAAAACACAUAGAAAGGCACAAAGAUAAGGUGAAGGAAAAGUCAGCUGUAACUGAAAAAAAAAAAAUGAAGGAAAUCUAUCCUGCUAUCGACUCCAAGGACCGAUGGGGCGUGUGAGAGAAAAGAUAAAAAACCCAAGAGGACCAGAGUUCUGCAAAGACAGAGCAGAGGGGAAAGAAUGUUUCAACCCAAGGAAAAGAUUAAAAAUGAAAUGUGGCCACAACAGGGUUGGGGUUGGGAAGGACCCAGCUGCCUACCGCACGAGGAGAAGAGCCCUAAACUGCCCCCCAGUUGGAAGAGGGGAUCCUAGACUUCCGGAAGGAAGAGAACAGAGUCCGCUGGGAAGGAACAAGAGCCCCUCCCGCAGCUCCCUCGGCACCCAUUCCGCGGGGCAGCGGCGGCUCCUGUGCCUGAAGGGAAGCCCUGCCGGGCGGGACCUGCUGGAGGGGCAGGUGCUGUCGGGGCCUCUCCAGGCUCACGGGGACUCGGAAAACCCCUCAGACUCACUUCCUUUGUCAAAUGAAUGCCAGGACCGAGGGGAGGAGAGCGUGGGACCCCGGAGAUGGCGGUCCCAGCCCAGGGGCACGAGAGGCCCACCCAGCCAGUGCCCGGUGUGGGGGGUGCUCAGCUCCCGGGGAGGUGUCUGGGGGGAGAGGCACCCAUGUCACAGAUGGUGUGACAGCAAGAGGCCUGUGGGCCAGACCUGACAGGCGUGCAGAGAAUGAAGGGCAACCAGAAAGCACAGGGGCAGACAGACAGCCAGGCAGCAGAGGAUCAGGUGUGGAGCAGAGCGAACCACGCGGCAGUUUUAGCCCGAGUCCAGCGAGAGGGAGCCGCUCGGCAGUGACGCCACACAGACCAGCAACCGGGCGCAGACGAGCAGCGUGUAGGAAAGGAACUGUAACAGUAGGUAUCUGUGCAGGUGUAAAAAGAAAAAACAGAGAGAAAAGGGAGAAAAAGAGUAAGUAUCUGGGAAGAGGUUCAGCUGCAGCCGUCAGGCGAACCUCGGUGGACACCGCAGGCCCCCCGGGAGCUUCGGAGGAGGAAGCGGCCCCGCGCCAGGACCGUGGCUCUCUGCGCUGCACGGCCCCCACCCCACCCGCCCAAUAAAGCCGCAGGCUGGGGCACCAAGCCAAGCAAGGUCACGCCACCCAACAGACGGGUGGGCGCUGUGGUGGCCACAAAUACCCUGUCCCUAAGCACGCGGCCUACGGCGAGCCUGUGCACUGUGGCGCUGACCAGCUGACGAUCGCUUGGAGACCCUGUGGGGCUCAGAGGGGCCCACGUUCUCCUGGGUCGGUGACGGUCCCACGGACACAUUCUCUGAGGUGGUGCCUGUGAGGCUGCGUGGGUCAGCAGACUGGUCCCCAAGCACAGGGAGCGGUGGGGGCUGCUGCCUUCGAGGUGCGGGAGCUGCGGCUCUUGCCCUGCAGCCUGGAGACGGCGCACCCCAGUCCCCCAUUACGGCUCGGAGGAGUAAUCUUUGUGAAAUUCUCACCUAGUAAACAAUUUAGGACAGUCAAAAAAAGACUAGACAAUACCUUUUUAAAAGGCACCUUAAAAAUGAAAAGCCGCCCUGGCACGUGUGGCUCAGUGGAUUGAGCGCCAGCCCGCAAACCACUGGGUCUCCAGUUCGAUUCCUGGUCAAGGCAAGUGCCUGGGUUGCAGGACAGGUCUCCAGUACGGGGUGCGUGAGAGGCAAGCACACAGUGGUGUUUCUCUCCCUCCCUUCCUGCUCUAAAAAUAAAUAAAUCUUAAAGACGAUUUUUUUAAAGCAUAAGAGUCUCGGAAGGGACAGAACCAGUGGCAGAGUGGGAGAGAAAGAAGCCUCAUGCUCAGACAGGAGAGGCUGGUGGCUGCAGCCGAGGCCAGAAGGAGCACCUUGAAUUUGGGACAUGAGCAGAAGUGAGACAUCCAGUGGCAGGGCGGCAAAACCAAGUGAGAAAAACUCCCAGAAGCUGGACCAAAAAUGGGAAGAAAAACAAAAAUUAGGCGGCUUCUUCAGAAGAUUAAAUUUCCAAAAAAGAUUCGCAGAGGAGGAACCAGAUGCAAACUGCUCAAAAGCCCCUGGGACCGAGGCUGCGAGGUCCUGCCCAGUGAGCCGACAAGCGGGCCUGCUGUUGUCCCCAGAACUCAGCAAGGGACAGGCGCCGUCCCUGUCCAGAGCCGCCUUCCUAGGAGACAGGCAGCACGGAUGCAGGGCAGCGGGGCCGGCAGAAGGGGCAGCGGGGCCUCGAGGGGAGGAGGAGGCUGAGGGAGGCUGGGGACGAGGACGGGGAAGGCUGGGUGCCUGCAGGACGCCCUAGCCGAAAGGCCGGUCAGCCUGGCGCCAGGGAGAGGUCUGGGCUGGAGGCAGGAGUGUGGGCCUUGCUGGAGCCUAAAGUCACAGAGGGGAGCAGAGCAAGCGGGUCUGAGGAGGGAGAGGCAAGCGAGGGAUGUCACCGGGGAGGACUCUGUGAAAGAAGCGUGCCAGCCUAGUUGUGGCGGUGGGGACAGUCCGAGACAAAUGCCAGCCAGGCGGGGCAGGGAUGGAUUACUGAAACCCACUAAGAAAGACCUGCCAGAUACACAGCAGAGGCACUUGGAAGCCUGGGGACAGGAGAAGAGGUUCGGUCACGGCUGCCCUUGCAGGGGCCUGCGGGAGGGAGCCGCAAACAGCACCUCCAGCCCCAGGGAGCGGCGGCCACUUGGAGGCCCCCAUGAGCAAAGAACAUCUGAUUCCCACCUGCCCUCCUCAGGAGGAACCUGGGGUCCUCCACAGAUGGAAGGGGCUCACAGAGCCCGGCGGGGGGGGGGGGCAGCCGCCAGACAACGACCCUGACAUCUUUGGACAUACUGGAGAGGGGAGGGCUUUUCAAAGCUCUGGGAGAGAGUUUGGGAGCAGCUGCGACAAAGUUAAUCAGACACAGAACAGACGGGGCAAGGAUUUUCUCCAGAAAAGACAAGAGUGUGUACCGAUUGAAGCAAAAAUGUGCACUGCGCUAGUGUAGAAGGUGAGGGGAAGUGUGCACACGCGUUACCCCAGCAGCCUGGUAGCUUCGUCUGCAAAGCUCAACACUGGAAAUAAGUCGCACGCCUGCCCACCACGGCGGUGAGUGGGCGCCAGUGCCCACAAAGACGCUCAGGGCGGGUGCACAGGGAACUGAGGCCCCCGCGCACUGCCCCAGACGCGGCCCCCAGCACACUUCUGGUGUCGGGAGCGAUGUUAUUCACAGGACAGAACCUCCCACGCCCAGGUGUGAGCAUGUGAGUGUGUGAAAGUCUGCUCAGACCCACGACGGCCAGGCAGCGCCCAGGGGAAGCCCCAGCCGACUCGGGCAGCCGCGAGCCUCCUCCACACACGUCUGCAAUGCGUCUCCCCUUGUUCUGAGCCCACGUUACUUUGAAUAUUAAAAAGAGCAGGCGUUCCUUUUUUAAGGGAAGCGAGGCAGAGAACGGCCUCACCUGCCCAGGAUGAAGGCGAUGUAGACCAGCGAGGAGAAGUGCGCAAAGAACUGCAGAGUGAAGAACUUGAUGGUGAACUUGCUCUCUCUCUCGGAGAAGGUCCUGGGUUUCUCUGGAAAAACACGAGGGCUGUCCCUCGCCUGUCCCUCACCCCAUGACAGUCCCACUCCGGGUCAGCCCUGGUUCUGACACGCAAGGACACCUGAGCCCUCACCCGUCUCCCAGGUGGGGGCACCUGCCCUCUGGUGGGAAGGGCCCGCCCCUCCCCCAUCCACUCCCCAAGUACCCCUGGGAACCAGGGAGGGGCUUGGGGCCCCUGCUCUCACCAAAGUCGCAAAGCUUCAGGGCCACAAACUUGUUGACCUGUGGGCAGGGAGACCAGAGGGCUCACUCCGGGCCCCGGGAAGACCCCCCGCUUCGCCGCCCGCCCUGCCCUGCCGACCCACCUUGGUCAUGAUGAGGAUGGUCGCAUAGUGCACCAGGGCUCCAGUCACCACCACAGCAGUGGUCACCUGAUCUUCCAGGAAGGGCAGGGCGGAGCUGCUGAAGAUGUCGGAGGCCAGGACUCGGUACACCACCAGGACGUGGGCCAUGCCGAUCAUGAGGCCGAUCUGUGGGCAGGCGGCCGGGACGGUGGGCUCGGAGGGCAGCCACCGGCCCGGAGGGCACCUGCCACGGGCUCCCCAAGAAUACCAUGAGUAGGGACAGCACCAGGAUGAUGGUGCUUCUCCAGUAGGAGUGCUGGUGCGUCCGGAGCUUGUAGUCUCGGCAGUUAAUGAGCUCGAGCGCCAGCUCUUCCUGGGGAGGCACAGACAGGGCUCAGACGCGGGACAUGGGCGGCGGCCUUGGCAGAACCACGUUUGGGCCACACAGGGCACUGGGAAGAGACAGCCCCUGCCUGGGUCGCCCGGCCCCACGCACCUGGUCCUCGUCCCACCCGUACAGGUCCCAGUGCAGGACCACGCGGGCUCGAUGCCGCUUCCAGAGCUCCAGGAACACUGUGGCUGCAGCGGGAGUGGGGAGGGGCGUCACAGGCGCACCUGGGGCCGCGGCCAGGGUGCUGGGGGCAGGAGUGGCUCUGGAGCUCGGGCUGGGCCCGCAGGUGCCCACACAAACUCACCCCACAGAGCCAUGAAGAUGGCAAACACCACAGUGCCCUCGUUGUCAAAGAGGUGGGUGAGCUGGGGAGAGGCACACGUGGGGCUGGCCAUGCCCCCCCCCACCUCCCCACCCGAUGACACCCAGCUUUGCAAGGGCCGGGACAAGCCUGGACAGGCCUCCCGCAGGGCGAGCGGGCCCGGCCUGACCCCCACGGCGGCAAACCUUAGCGAAGGUGCAGGUGUCCGAGAGGCGCUGGUACCUGCGGCGGUAGUCCCCGCGCGGGCACAUGAAGACGUGGUGGGCUUCACAGAUCUCCUUGCUGGGAGUGCAGGGACCCGCUGGGAGAAGCCGCUGAGGAAGACGAUGAGGCCGACCACCGCGGCCGGCACCAGCAUGCGACCCACAGCGUGACUGUCCGGCCUCCAGCCCCGCCCCCAGGGCAGGCGCUCGCCCCCACCACCCUGCCUCUUACCUGGUGCAAGGGAAACCUGGUCUCGAAGACCCCAUCCUCCAUCAGGUCCCCGAACGUGUCUAAGGCCACAGAGAGUCUCAGGAUGAAGUUGACGAUUCGGAUUCUGGAACACAAGGGCUGGUUCAGGAUGGCCCCCGUGUACCUCAGGGGGCCCCACCCCCUCUCUGGCCAGUUCCUCCAGGAACUGCCGCUGCUUGUGGACCGUCCUGGGGUUUCGCUGGGUGCGAUAGUCGGCCACGAGGAUGUAGUCCGGCUGGAUGCGAAUGCACUCUUCACCCUGGGGCAGGGACGGAGGUUUGUUUGGAAAUGGAGACGAAAGGCCCCUGAAAUCCGGAGGAAAAACAGCCCAAAGAUGCAGACGGGGAGCACUCACAGGAGAGGACCAGGUACUCCAGGUGCAUGGGAAGACCAGGAAACGCAGGGCAGGUGACCAGGAGGCGCCACCUUUUUUUUACCCAUUCGCUCAGACAUUUUAAGGGGCUGGCAGCACCGGAGCCAACAGCACCCCCGUGUGGUGCCCUGGGGCACACUCGGCUGCAUGAGUUUGGAGACAGUCGGUCUCCCACGGCCUGGCCUGACCCCACCUGGAGACAUGGUCAGGGCGCACAGGGGCAAACGUCACACUGCACAGUGGACGUGACCUGCAUUCCCACUGGCGGGGGAGAGGUGGAGACACUGUGCUCCCACCCCCAGGUGGCAGGUCAUGUCCCUGAAACUCGAAGGCCACGGCCUCACACGGGGCAUUGGGGACAAACCCGACAUGGCACUGUGAUCGGUGAGACUAACUCUGCUGAGGGCCUGCGGGGGCGUCCGGGACAGACACACAGACGCUGCCGUCAGCGGGCAGCGCCCCAGGAGGAAGCGGCUGUGCGCCGCCGCCACCAGCCCUGAGCCUCCUGCCUCAUUGUGCCAGCAGGUGCCCCGGUGCAGCUUCAGCCUUCCCUGAGGUGGGGGCUGCACAGUGACCGAGGGAGAAACACACCACCCCCAGGCCAUCAUGGUCCAGGUCAUGUGAUGUCACUUAGACGUGAGGGACCCUGAGGGAAUGUGCUGUGAUCAUGUGCAGUCCCCUCCCUAAAACUGGUAGUCCUGACUCAUGUCACAAGGGCUCUCUGCAGAACCGAGCUGGGGACAUGGAGGGACAGAAGGACCGUCCCAGAUGGGAGGGGGCCAAAUGCCACGCAGGACCCUGUACUGACUGGGACAGGAAAGAACCCAGUGGGGGAGCUGGUGACGUCAAGGCGGCCGUGGUGGGCUCCUUGUGUUGACCAGAGCCCUAGGCGAUGGGCAAGACUUCUGGGGAAUCAGAGCAGAGGACACCCCACUCUGUAUUACUCUCUUUUUAAAAGAUUUUAUCUAUUCAUCUUUAGAGAGGGGAAGGAAGGGAGAAAGAACGAGCGAGAAACACCACUGUGUGGCUGCCGCCCAUGUGCCCCCCACUGGGACCUGGCCCGACACCCAGGCAUGUGCCCCAGACCAGGAAUCAAGCCAGCGGCCCCUUGGUUUGCAGGCAGCACUCAGCCCACAGAGGCGCGGCAGCCGGGGCUAUUGCUCUGUUAACACUGACGGGUGUGCUGCAUCUGUGGGGGUGGGAGCAGGAGUCGGGGUGGAGCAGCUGGAGGCCCACUGACCCCAGCAAGCAGGAUCUGAGGGCUGAGACAGUGACCCGGGGCCGCUCCACUGGGGGAGCCAGGUGGCUGAGAGGUGGGGGACAGGGCAGACUCUCAGAGCAGGUCACGUGAGGGGGCCCUGGGCUGACCUGCAGGGAGAGGACCCUGGCUUUGGAGCUGAGAGCCAGGGGGCCCAACACUGUGCACCCUCGGGUGAGAUCAGCCACUUCCUCUGUCUUGUCCCUGAUGCCCCUCUGGGCUUUACGUCAGACACAAAGCAUCCCGUCCCCGCAGCAUGACCUGAGCACACUGGGAGUGGGUGUAACCAGGACCCCAGGCUGCACCCCAAGGAUACAAAGGAUCCCAGAGGGACCCGGGGCUGCGUCCACAGGAGAACCCACCUCAGGCCAACUGCUGGCGGGCCUGGGCACCUCCCGCCAUGGCCCUGACUUCUGCCCGGGCCUCCUGCCCCUGGGGUUUGCUGGCCCCUCUUCCGGCUCAUGGCCUCACACCCUACUCCAGUCGCCCAAGCCCAACGCUUUGGCCCUGCUGGUCCCCUGCCUGCUAGCUUGCCCCUUCUCCAACCACAUUUCUGCCAGACCCAAUUACGCCACUUCCAGAAAGCCCGACUGGACUGCUCCAGCCGGUCCGGCCUCUGGGACUACCAGUCACAUUUGAAUUUCAGAUACACAAAAUCCUUUUUCAUGUAGGUAUGUCCCAACUGUUACCGUGGGACAUAAUUAUACUAACAAAAAUUGUGCCCUGGCCAGUGUGGCUCACUGGAUUGAGCUCUGGCCUGCGAACUGAAGGGUCGCUGGUUCAAUUCCCGGUCAGGGUGCAGGCCUGGGUUCCGGCCGAGUCCCUGAUUGGGGGCAGGCAGGAGGCGACGUUUCUCUCCAUCUCUUGCUCCCCCCUCCCUCCCUUCUCUC
Long non-coding RNA from Artibeus jamaicensis (Jamaican fruit-eating bat), 9868 nucleotides. RefSeq lists it as uncharacterized. The record is from RefSeq and is a predicted model, not a curated record. The transcript is spliced from 9 exons. Lineage: Eukaryota; Metazoa; Chordata; Mammalia; Chiroptera; Phyllostomidae.